UACGUAGGUGGCAAGCGUUAUCCGGAAUUAUUGGGCGUAAAGCGCGCGUAGGCGGUUUUUUAAGUCUGAUGUGAAAGCCCACGGCUCAACCGUGGAGGGUCAUUGGAAACUGGAAAACUUGAGUGCAGAAGAGGGAAGUGGAAUUCCAUGUGUAGCGGUGAAAUGCGUAGAUAUAUGGAGGAACACCAGUGGCGAAGGCGACUCUCUGGUCUGUAACUGACGCUGAGGCCCGAGAGCGUGGGGAGCAAACAGG
This 253-nucleotide ribosomal RNA is filed under the name uncultured bacterium. Its description in RNAcentral is "partial 16S ribosomal RNA". It matches the Rfam family "Bacterial small subunit ribosomal RNA", at positions 524 to 776 of the family's 1533-position model. The record is from RNAcentral.